Molecule: RNA transcript, 3146 nt
Organism: Xenia sp. Carnegie-2017
Lineage: Eukaryota; Metazoa; Cnidaria; Anthozoa; Malacalcyonacea; Xeniidae
Exons: 10
Source: RefSeq, a predicted model, not a curated record
AUAAAUUACCAUUGGUAAUUACCUAUAAGCUGUGACAAACCACUAAAAUAUAGAAUAACCAUUGAGAAUAACAAGUUUCAUAUGCGUAUUUAACCGAUAUGCGGCUAAAUGACGAGAAGAAUUCUUUUUUCGGUUUCAGGUUUGCAUUGCAUUCUCAAUGUGGGGAAACAUCUCGAUUUUUUGUUCUUCAAAGCAUUUGACCAGAUGCACUCACAUCUUCUCCUGCAGCCAGGUAACAGAGCAAGGGUUCACACCAUUAGCCAAAGCAACUGCAUUUGCCACAGCAAAAAGACCACAAUCUGAUGAUCUUUUUUGAUGUUGUUGGAGAAUCACUUUGACGUUUAAAGAACCAUCCUGUUCUUGAAGGUUUUUGUAAACAUUCUGGAGUUGCCUUUUUAAUGAUGAAUUCAGGCUCGUACUCAUAGAUUCAAAGACUACUAUUACAUCAGUUAUGGAUGUAGAAACCACACAGUGGUGACCAAUAUUGUGACAUUGAAUUGCUUGGGUGAUAUUUUCAGGAAUAUUUAUGAGUUUGUUACUGUAUGUGACUGCUACGACUGUGUUCAGACCUCCCACUCCGGUACCAAGAUCACCUAUUAAUUUCUGUGCUGCAUCAAUAUGGUCAUCUGAAAGCCAUCCAUUUAGAUUUAGAAGCACGUCUUUCUGAGCAUAUGACAACUUUAUUCCUUGAAUAUCUACCCAACACUCCUCAAAAUUUUCAAUUUUCUCAUUGUUGUUCAUUUUCAUCUUUUUUGCUAGUUGCUCUUCAAUUACUUGUAAUUUGCGUUUCUCAUGCUUCUCUUCUUUUUCAAGCUUCUCUUCUAAUACUUCAAUCUUUUCACUUUUUUAAUCAGCUGCUCUUCCCACUCGUUUACCUGAACACCUCUUGCAUUUUCGUUUUGGCAAAGCAGAUUGUGACCUACACUUUGAUAUUUGUUUCUUUUUUGGAGAUAAAGACUUGUUUUUCAAUGAAAUUCCAUUUUCCUCAGGAUGAUUUUUUCUUGUGUAUUGUAUUACCUCUUGUAACAUCUCCAGGGUUUUGUCCAAAACUUUCUCAUCAUCCAAAAUGUAAAGCUCAUCCUGAAUUUGUUUGACUUUUUGAACACACUUAUUUCUAACAUUUUGGAUUGAGUUGGAGCAAUAAUCUGUUGUGGUAAGAAAACAGUCAGAAGAAUGAGCUUUUUCAUAAUUAGGACAUUGCGCAAAGUUUCCUGGCAGUGACUUGUGUUUGAUAUCAGUCUGAGUUGGGCUUAUAUUGGCUUUUGGUUGAAUUAUAUGGGGAUCUAAAGUAAAUAGGGGAUGAUUGGAAAACUUCACUCCAAUUGAUUCCCACCCAACAUUUGGUUGUUGAACAACAACACAGAUGUGUUUACAAGGCAUCUUCCGACUCCUGUAAUCAAGACAUUGGCAGGAAUAGUCGUUGAUAUGUGGAUGAUGAGCUUGUGACAGUGAAAUGUUUUGUCGUUUCCAUCUUGAUGUUUUUACUUGGAAUGUCAGAUUCCAUCCGUUGAAUAAUAUGAGAAACAACAUACUUUGGUCUAUUGUGCAGGAACUUUGGGAUUUGUUUGCUGUAGGACUUGUAUGAAUCGGAUGAUUUGAUAUUCUGUUCCUUAUAUCUAUCAAGAGAAAAUUGUUUCCACAGUGGAUUCUCGUGACUGAUGAUGUUCAGGACUUCUGAUAUGGAAUACUUGCUCUUUUGGAGUCAUUUUCACCCACUGGCUACUAUACUUGUUUAUUGUUACACUUUGACUUUGCAUCAAAUGUAUCAUGUCAGAAAUCCUUUGUUGUUCAUGAUUAUAAUGCAAACAAAAGAACAAUUAUGGUGAUGUCAAAUUUUAUUUCCAUAAUUUCAAUAUUGGGUAUAUACCCAACUAAAUGAUAUUGCUCAAUACUCUUUUUGGUGCUAUAAUCUGCAUGUAUUUUUUCUCUUCAGCAUAAUUCAUUUGUAUUUGUGCAUCGAUAUCCCAUCUAUUGCUUGAUGGCUACAGUUGGAUAUUUUGCUGCUCAUGUGAUGCAAAUAGAAAGCAAUUUGUUGAAGCCCUACCUAAUAAUAUACAAUUAGAUCCUCAAAAAGAUAUACCAUAUCCCAGUUGCAUACACAUAUUAGCAAUGUAAAAAUAUCUGGUUGUGUAUGAUAGAAAGUUUGGUAUUGAAGCCAAAGAUUUUAUUGAAAAAAAAUCCACAUCCAUGAUGUAGUCUCUUUUCAGUGAUCAUUCCUACCAUGAGAUGCAACCUGAAGAAGACUUGUUUAGUGCAGUGUGCAGGGAGGUUCAGUGGAUUGCUGCAAAACCAGUGAAUAGUCCAUGGGGGGUUUGUACUUUUGUGUGUUCAAAAGUAACGCCGCCCCAGCCUGAGUUAAAAUGUUGCAGCUGUUCGUCAUAUCAUUGCAUUCAUGUGACAACCAUUGCAAAAGCCAUGCAAAUCGUUGAAGAGGAUGAAAUGGAUUCUCCAUUGGCACUUUUUAAGUUUUCCUUUGGAAUUACACCAGAGAUGCGAGACUAUUUUGAAUUGGCUACACUUAGCAAAGAAAAGGUUUCUUUAUUUGAAACAGGUAAUUAGAAUGAUGCAAGCGAUUUUACUGAUCUUCCUGAAAAAAAUGGUCAUAAAAUUUUGGCGCCAUCUGAAAGUGGUAUUUGUUCUUGUGGUGCAGAGUGGGAUAAACGUUCUUUUCAAGAUGAAUGGUUGUACGUAGACUUUUGUUCAGUUGCGUACUUUUAUUCAAUCCAUGAUGUGAAGGUGUAUUGUAGACCUUGCUCCUCUUGUGCUACGAAAAAGCAUUAUGAUGGCAUUGAAAACAGGAUUGUAUGGUUUGGAUCAUAUGCAAUAUCUCAUGCCGUUCUAAAAGAUUACAUUCGGCUUUUCAUAACGUCGAGUUUACCUAUGUACAAAUAUUAUGUUGCAUAUGUACAAAGGCAAGUGUCUUCGGGUAAUUUGAAUUUCCCAAAGGAAGUAACUUACGCCAAGUUUCGUCUCGCUAUCAUUGCCAUGAUACGGUUGCUUGAUAUUGUUUUGACAAUGGGUUUUUUUGUGAAUUAUGGGGAAGAAUUCCCCAAAAGGUGGUGAUGGAUGGAACAACUCUUGGAAUACAGAAAACUUUCUUACCAAAUAAUUUAAGAGAGUCUGAUACUGGAUUGCUAGAUGGAAGA